Molecule: ribosomal RNA, 497 nt
Filed under: uncultured bacterium
Lineage: Bacteria
Description: partial 16S ribosomal RNA
Rfam family: Bacterial small subunit ribosomal RNA
Source: RNAcentral
GAUGAACGCUGGCGGCGUGCCUAAUACAUGCAAGUCGAGCGAACGGACGAGAAGCUUGCUUCUCUGAUGUUAGCGGCGGACGGGUGAGUAACACGUGGAUAACCUACCUAUAAGACUGGGAUAACUUCGGGAAACCGGAGCUAAUACCGGAUAAUAUUUUGAACCGCAUGGUUCAAAAGUGAAAGACGGUCUUGCUGUCACUUAUAGAUGGAUCCGCGCUGCAUUAGCUAGUUGGUAAGGUAACGGCUUACCAAGGCAACGAUGCAUAGCCGACCUGAGAGGGUGAUCGGCCACACUGGAACUUAGACGCGGUCGAGACUCCUACGGGAGGCAGCAGUAGGGAAUCUUCCGCAAUGGGCGAAAGCCUGACGGAGCAACGCCGCGUGAGUGAUGAAGGUCUUCGGAUCGUAAAACUCUGUUAUUAGGGAAGAACAUAUGUGUAAGUAACUGUGCACAUCUUGACGGUACCUAAUCAGAAAGCCACGGCUAACUACGUG